GAUUUAUACCUUUUCUUUUAUGUUAUUUACGUUCCUUUUUUUUGUUUGUUUGUUUGUUUGUUAGGAGGGGAUGUUGUUUCUGUUCUAUAUUUGGGUAUUCUUUUACAAUUUGCAUUAUUCCUAAACCAAUGCAUGCUUCAACAAUUGUGUGAUAAAUAAUACUUCAAAAAAAAGACCUUUUUUUUUUUUUUUGGUGGAUAUAAAAUAUUAUGUGUUAAUUGACACACAGUACAUUUGCUUAAAGUAAAAAGUGAAUUUUGCCAGAAAAAUUAUAUUGCUUAGUUACCAAUUACUGUAUUUUCUUUUUUCUUUUUUUUUUUUCUUUUUUUUUUUUUCCCUUCUGCUUCAAAGCAAUGGCAGAUGAAGCUUCACAAAGUCUAAGUCUGAAGGUCCUGGUGGAUGAAGAGACGGAUCAAGUUGUUUUUGCCGAGUCCGAUAACGAUUUUGUUGAUGUUCUAUUCAGCUUCAUGACUAUGCCCAUUGGAAACAUUAUUAGACUCAUCCUUCAACAAGCAUUUAAAUGGGAGAUUGGUUGCCUGAACAACUUAUAUGAAAGUAUUGAGAAUCUUGACGAUAAGCAUCUGCAGAGUGUGGGGUGCAAGGACAUGCUGCUACGUCCUCGGAGUGCUGCUGAAAUUUCCUGCACAAACCUUAAACUAGAUUUUGUUAAUUGUAAUACUUGUGAGUUCUAUGCAUGCGGAUUUUGGUCCGUGCCGCAGCCGCAAUGCACUUUGUGUCCUUACCGUACUGGUAGUUGCUAUUGUGGAGCCAACAGAAAUAUUAUGUGGAAAGUUAAAAAUCGUAUCUCUGUUCCUCCAGUUGGAGGGGUUUUUGUGAAACCCACCUCAUGCUUUAUGAUAACAGAUGACUUUCAAGUACUGCCCACGUCCACUGUGACUUGCUUAACCUUGCUUAAAGAGCUUGGACCUGUGGAUGGAAGGAUAAAAGAGAGGAGUAUAAACAUAGGAAAGGAUGAGGUUCUGAAUAUGCUCAAGUGUUCAUUAACAUCUAUAACACCUUUUUCUGAGACAAUCUUGGAAUCACCUGCCAAAAGAACAAGGUUUGCAAAUCGUCAUGGAGAAUUCAUUCCGAGAAGCACAGAUGAAUCUCAAAGGGCCAUGGGCACAACAAAUAAAGAGGCAAAGAUAGCUUUGAAGCUUAUCAUCAACAAAUGUAAUAACAAGGCAUUGUAUGUUGAAGCUAGGGAAGAUUUUGCUAAUCUCAUCAGCAGUUUUCUCACCAUUCCACUUGGUUACGUCUUUAAAGAAUUUCCAUGUUUGUCACUGAAGGGAUGCUUGGCUAAUGUAUACAAGAGCAUCCAGGCUCUUGAUGUUGAUGAAUUCCUGAUAUCUGAGGAGAUUAAGGCAACUUUAGUCAAUCCAAAGAUGGCCCCUGGAAUACCUUACAAUAAGCAGCUCAUCCCCAUCGAGGAAGGUUUAUGUCCGUAGCAGUCAACUGUUUCUUCCCUUUAUGAAGUAUACAAGUCUAAGGCAACAGUGGCUAUAGUUGGCGAGAGAUUCAUGAAAGGACCGUCAAAAUAUAUGGUGACAGACAAUUUGACCAUAACACCUUUCUGGCCCAUCUCAGGCUUAUCUCUUAGUAACAAAUUGAAUAUACCCAUCAGUGACAUUGUAGAACGAGAAGUAACCAUUGGUGAGGAGGAGGCUUUGCGUCUACUAGAGGCUGCUUUUGUUUCAGGAUCUGCUCUGACUGAUGCUUUAAUACUGAAGGAGCCAAAACAACAACCACCAGGGUUUAUGUUCUCAUCUAAUGGAGGCUCCCACAAGCCUAGUUUUCCAAGGUCAUUCAUGGAGGCUUAUGAGUGAUUCCUAAAGGCAAAACAAUUACCAAGAAGAUGGAGAUCCAAGAAGAAGGCAUCUUGCUAAGGGAUCUACAAUAAGUGAGAACAUUCACUUUAGAGGAAAGUUUUAAAGGUUUACUCAGACCUUUGAUGUAAGUAUUCAAUUUGUUAAUUGAAUGAUACAUCAUAUUUUUAUUUUUGCGUAAAACUUGUCUCUAUGUGAUGAAUCAAGAUCUAUGAAUCAAAAUCCCUCGAAAAGUUUUUAAAACUUGCACGUUUCCCAAUAGUGGUAUCAGAGCCAUGGUUUGAUUCAUUACUAGAGAUCAUGAUUUUAUGAAAAUCAUCAUUCAUGGAUCCAAAUUUAUAUAUGCAUAUGUGUAUAUUUUUAUAUGAUCAUGAUGUAUGUAUAUUUGUGAUUGGAUGAAUGUUGAUGAAUGUUUGGGCCAUGGAUGAAGCUUAUAGGUUAUUGGAAUGUAAUUUUAUCUUUGGAUGAAUGUAAUUAAGGUUUUGAUUUAGCCGUUUGAAAGUUUAAUGAUGUAAUUUAAUUUUUUCCAUUGUAUUUCAAAUUGUAAAUUUAUUUAAAGCUAUGUAAUCUUCAUCAAAGGAUGUUAUGAAGCUUCAAGAAGGUCCAAGAGGGUUAAAUUAGGCUUCAGGAAUUUUCUAGGGUUUUUUAGAAAUUUUUCAGAAUUUUUCUGGAAUUUUUUAAGGCCUAAUUUAAUUUCUGAAAUUUUUUUAAUUUAAUUUCUGGUAUUUUUCGGCAAUUUUCCGGUGACCUUUGAUGCUAGCCGGCGGCGAGAGGUACUGCUGGAAGUCUUGAUCAAUCAGGUGUGACGCGGUACACAAUCAUACUAUGCAACCUGAUGAGUUACCGCUGGAUUAAAUCAACAUAGGAGCUUUUAUCACAUGUGGCGCGUGGGAUGGUGCAAUCAGCACCUUAGGAACAAAGCUGGCGCGUGUUCCUCACGCGCCAGUACAUUCAGAAGCUCAACGCACGUGGCAGCGCGUGAUGGCGCGUGCCACGCGCCCAAUGAUUUCACCAGCGCGUGGCAGCGUGUGAAGGCGCGUGCCACGCGCCUAUGGCUAUUCCAAGCGCGUGGGGAUGCAUACUAGCUUCCUUAGGCGCAUGCCAGUGCGUAUAGGAUCCUCCGGGCGCGUUCCAAGUAGCGUUUUGCUUAUCCUAACGCGUACCAGCUUCCUAUAGGUGUUGACGGACUGUUGAAGGAUGCCCGUACAAUACUUAGAGUAACUAAAUGUUAAAAGCUGAAUCCAUUGGCCAUUUAAAUUGCUUCUGUCUGUUAUUUAUUUAUUUAACUGAUGCAUGGAAUAAUUAAUUG
Molecule: RNA transcript, 3135 nt
Organism: Cornus florida
Lineage: Eukaryota; Viridiplantae; Streptophyta; Magnoliopsida; Cornales; Cornaceae
Exons: 4
Source: RefSeq, a predicted model, not a curated record